RNAcentral lists this ribosomal RNA (293 nucleotides) under uncultured bacterium. RNAcentral describes it as "partial 16S ribosomal RNA". It matches the Rfam family "Archaeal small subunit ribosomal RNA", at positions 455 to 747 of the family's 1478-position model. The record is from RNAcentral.
GUGCCAGCCGCCGCGGUAAUACCGGCAGCCCGAGUGAUGGCCGAUCUUAUUGGGCCUAAAGCGUCCGUAGCUGGCUGCGCAAGUCCGUCGGGGAAUCCACUAGCCUAACGAGUGGGCGUCCGGCGACAACUGUUCGGCUUGGGACCGGAAGACCUGAAGGGUACGUCUGGGGUAGGAGUGAAAUCCCGUAAUCUUGGACGGACCACCGAUGGCGAAAGCACUUCAGGAGGACGGAUCCGACAGUGAGGGACGAAAGCUAGGGUCUCGAACCGGAUUAGAAACCCCUGUAGUCC